Molecule: ribosomal RNA, 253 nt
Filed under: uncultured bacterium
Lineage: Bacteria
Description: partial 16S ribosomal RNA
Rfam family: Bacterial small subunit ribosomal RNA
Source: RNAcentral
GACGUAGGGCGCGAGCGUUGUCCGGAUUAUUGGGCGUAAAGAGCUCGUAGGCGGCUUGUCGCGUCGUCCGUGAAAACCUGCGGCUCAACUGCAGGCUGGCGGUCGAUACGGGCGAGGCUGGAGUUCGGUAGGGGAGACUGGAAUUCCUGGUGUAGCGGUGAAAUGCGCAGAUAUCAGGAGGAACACCGGUGGCGAAGGCGGGUCUCUGGGCCGAUACUGACGCUGAGGAGCGAAAGCGUGGGGAGCGAACAGG